GACGAACGCUGGCGGCGUGCUUAACACAUGCAAGUCGAACGGAAAGGCCCUGCUUUUGUGGGGUGCUCGAGUGGCGAACGGGUGAGUAACACGUGAGUAACCUGCCCUUGACUUUGGGAUAACUUCAGGAAACUGGGGCUAAUACCGGAUCGGAGCUCCUGCUGCAUGGUGGGGGUUGGAAAGUUUCGGCGGUUGGGGAUGGACUCGCGGCUUACCAGCUUGUUGGUGGGGUAGUGGCUUACCAAGGCUUUGACGGGUAGCCGGCCUGAGAGGGUGACCGGCCACAUUGGGACUGAGAUACGGCCCAGACUCCUACGGGAGGCAGCAGUGGGGAAUAUUGCACAAUGGGCGGAAGCCUGAUGCAGCAACGCCGCGUGCGGGAUGACGGCCUUCGGGUUGUAAACCGCUUUCGCCUGUGACGAAGCGUGAGUGACGGUAAUGGGUAAAGAAGCACCGGCUAACUACGUG
RNAcentral lists this ribosomal RNA (468 nucleotides) under uncultured bacterium. RNAcentral's name for it is "partial 16S ribosomal RNA". It matches the Rfam family "Bacterial small subunit ribosomal RNA", at positions 28 to 507 of the family's 1533-position model. The record is from RNAcentral.